Molecule: ribosomal RNA, 775 nt
Filed under: uncultured Neocallimastigales
Lineage: Eukaryota; Fungi; Neocallimastigomycota; Neocallimastigomycetes; Neocallimastigales
Description: partial large subunit ribosomal RNA
Rfam family: Eukaryotic large subunit ribosomal RNA
Source: RNAcentral
UACUAGAGUAGCACUCGCAUAUCAAUAAGCGGAGGAAAAGAAACUAACAAGGAUUCCCCUAGUAAUGGCGAGUGAAGCGGGAAGAGCUCAAAUUUGAAAUCUUAAAGGGUUUCCCUUUACGAAUUGUAGUUUAAAGAAGUGUUUUCUGUUGAGGUUUUGGUAAAAGUUCUUUGGAAUAGGACAUCAUAGAGGGUGAGAAUCCCGUAUUUGACCUUUACUUUCAACUUUGUGAUACACUUUCAAAGAGUCGGAUUGUUUGGGAAUGCAGUCCAAAAUGGGUGGUAAAUUUCAUCUAAAGCUAAAUAUUGGCGAGAGACCGAUAGCGAACAAGUACCGUGAGGGAAAGAUGAAAAGAACUUUGAAAAGAGAGUUAAACAGUACGUGAAAUUGUCAAAAGGGAAGCGUUUGACACCAGUGUUGUUUUUCUGAAAAUCAAUUAAAGAACUGUUUAUGCUAAGCUGUUUAGACUUUAUCAGCUAAUCUGCUUAGUUUUGAGCUUUUCUUUAAUGCACUUUUCAGUUAACAAGUCAACAUCAAUUUCUUUUGCUGUAAAAAAGCUUGAGGAAGGUGGCUUGAGAUUCGUCUUAAGUGUUUAUAGCCUCUUGCCUAUGCAGUCGGAGAGAUUGAGGUCUGCAGCGUAGAUCCUUCGGGGCUAAAUGCAUUUGUGCUAAGUUAUAGCAUUUCAUAGACAACUUGUUGACUAUGAUUUGUCUUGUAGCUUACUCGCUUAUGUUAUUUUACCUACGCUUAGGAUGUUGAACUACUGAGACAUAGA